Bubalus bubalis (water buffalo) is the source of this 330-nucleotide long non-coding RNA. RefSeq lists it as uncharacterized. NCBI's taxonomy places the organism in Eukaryota, Metazoa, Chordata, Mammalia, Artiodactyla, Bovidae. The record is from RefSeq and is a predicted model, not a curated record. The transcript is spliced from 2 exons.
UUCGGAACAGCAGUUGUAACCUUUGUCGAAGCCGUACCCGCGUUGCUGUGCGUGGAUGAAUAAUCGCUUUUACAAAUCACUUCCCUUCCUAGAAAGUAAAUUACUGCAACUCUGGUGUCACCACAAAGAUGUGUAGGCAGUGUUGCUGAAUGAUUGAGUGGAAACCGCUGUCUGGAAAAUCUUUUUAAUGAACCUAACACACCUGAAAACUACUGAAGUGUGUUUCAGUUUGCAUCAUUUUACUUACCUUUCACACUCACUGAAGUGCAAUUUCUGUAAGAAAUUCUUUGCUCUCUCAGUGUUGCCAAUUAGUUAAGAAGUAGAAAUUGA